AUUUACAUAAUAUAAAUAUUAUAUUUGACUUCCAAUCAAAAAAUCUAAUUACUUAGUGUAAAUA
RNAcentral lists this transfer RNA (64 nucleotides) under Uleiota sp. BMNH 833935. RNAcentral describes it as "tRNA-Gly". The record is from RNAcentral. Lineage: Eukaryota; Metazoa; Arthropoda; Insecta; Coleoptera; Silvanidae.